UGGGGAAUAUUGGACAAUGGGCGCAAGCCUGAUCCAGCCAUGCCGCGUGUGUGAAGAAGGCUUUCGGGUUGUAAAGCACUUUCAGUGAGGAGGAAGGCCUCAAGGUUAAUACCUUUGAGGAUUGACGUCACUCACAGAAGAAGCACCGGCUAACUCCGUGCCAGCAGCCGCGGUAAUACGGAGGGUGCAAGCGUUAAUCGGAUUUACUGGGCGUAAAGCGCGCGUAGGUGGUUAGGUAAGCGAGAUGUGAAAGCCCCGGGCUCAACCUGGGAACGGCACUUCGAACUGCCUGGCUAGAGUGUGGUAGAGGGUAGUGGAAUUUCCUGUGUAGCGGUGAAAUGCGUAGAUAUAGGAAGGAACACCAGUGGCGAAGGCGGCUACCUGGACCAACACUGACACUGAGGUGCGAAAGCGUGGGGAGCAAACA
RNAcentral lists this ribosomal RNA (427 nucleotides) under uncultured Marinobacter sp. Its description in RNAcentral is "bacterial SSU rRNA". It matches the Rfam family "Bacterial small subunit ribosomal RNA", at positions 355 to 774 of the family's 1533-position model. The record is from RNAcentral. Lineage: Bacteria; Pseudomonadati; Pseudomonadota; Gammaproteobacteria; Pseudomonadales; Marinobacteraceae.